Molecule: long non-coding RNA, 757 nt
Filed under: Nicotiana benthamiana
Lineage: Eukaryota; Viridiplantae; Streptophyta; Magnoliopsida; Solanales; Solanaceae
Description: long non-coding RNA (NBEN_LNC019947)
Source: RNAcentral
ACCAAAAUUUGCACAAUAAGAAUACAUAUUUCUAUUCCACAUUUUAAAGGCUCGAUAUGAUGUCAGAAUAGGUAUAGAGGAAACAAGAAAUACAUAACAUAAAGAAUGUGAGGUGUGUUGAAACACACUCUUAAACGAAUGAAUGACUGGCAUUGUAAUUGAGAGAAACACUCGUCUCAAAUUAUAAUAGACUUUUUACCAAUUUUUGAAGCAACAUUCUUAUUUAAAGAAUAUAAUAGUUAAUAGUGGAGCAGAAAAGGAGUGCCAUUCUAGAGACGGAAAUAGCUAAGUAAACCAAGAAUGUUUUGCAGCGGCCUGUUGCUGAGUUCAACCAUUAUACUUUGAAACAUCCUUUCUAGUGCAAAAUGCUGGAGCAGGAAAAAGCUUGCUGUCACUUGGUGAAUAAAUAAAAAAUAUAUUUCUCGAGCUACUGAAGCACUCUAGUUUUAAGUGAUUUAUACUCUGUUCAAAGUAGUACAUGUAUAUUCUUCUAUUUCUGGCAAAUUACCCGUUCAAUAUAUGCAUAUGCGGUCACUUCUUCCAUUGAGGCAACCUCUGCACCACUACCUGUACAUAUCAUCGAACUACCAUUGUAUGAGCGAGCGCUAAAAUUGCAGACAGACAGUUGUUCAUUUUUAGUUGUUUACCCACAUGUUUAGGACCUUGAGAUGAUAAUAACGUCUGACUUGAAUUUGUUGGGAAUAAAACCCCUACCAAAAUAAUAUUCACGGUAAUAAAAGCGGAAUAAUAAUGUANN